CAGUUUAACGGCCGCGGUACCCUAACCGUGCGAAGGUAGCAUAAUCACUUGUUUCUUAAAUAGAGACUAGUAUCAACGGCAUCACGAAGACUAUACUGUCUCCCCCCUAAAAUCAAUGAAACUGAUCUCCUCGUGAAGAAGCGAGGAUGUAUAUAUAAGACGAGAAGACCCCAUGGAGCUUUAAACGAACUUCAAUUGUUCCUACCCAUAACAUACAAACUGAACACCCCUGAUAGUUAGUUUUAGGUUGGGGUGACCGCGGAGUAAAACAAAACCUCCACAAUGAAUGAAAUAAAAUUCUUAUAAAAGAACCACAAUUCUAAUAAUCAAAAAUUUGACAUAAAUUGACCCAAACACUUGAUCAAUGAACCAAGUUACCCUGGGGAUAACAGCGCAAUCCAUUUUAAGAGCCCAUAUCGACAAAUGGGUUUACGACCUCGAUGUUG
This 446-nucleotide ribosomal RNA is filed under the name Leptopelis gramineus (Ethiopian burrowing tree frog). RNAcentral describes it as "partial large subunit ribosomal RNA". It matches the Rfam family "Bacterial large subunit ribosomal RNA", at positions 1920 to 2534 of the family's 2925-position model. Lineage: Eukaryota; Metazoa; Chordata; Amphibia; Anura; Arthroleptidae. The record is from RNAcentral.